Molecule: ribosomal RNA, 499 nt
Filed under: uncultured bacterium
Lineage: Bacteria
Description: partial 16S ribosomal RNA
Rfam family: Bacterial small subunit ribosomal RNA
Source: RNAcentral
GAUGAACGCUGGCGGCGUGCCUAAUACAUGCAAGUCGAGCGAAUGGAUUAAGAGCUUGCUCUUAUGAAGUUAGCGGCGGACGGGUGAGUAACACGUGGGUAACCUGCCCAUAAGACUGGGAUAACUCCGGGAAACCGGGGCUAAUACCGGAUAACAUUUUGAACCGCAUGGUUCGAAAUUGAAAGGCGGCUUCGGCUGUCACUUAUGGAUGGACCCGCGUCGCAUUAGCUAGUUGGUGAGGUAACGGCUCACCAAGGCAACGAUGCGUAGCCGACCUGAGAGGGUGAUCGGCCACACUGGGACUGAGACACGGCCCAGACUCCUACGGGAGGCAGCAGUAGGGAAUCGUCCGCAAUGGACGAAAGUCUGACGGAGCAACGCCGCGUGAGUGAUGAAGGCUUUCGGGUCGUAAAACUCUGUUGUUAGGGAAGAACAAGUGCUAGUUGAAUAAGCUGGCACCUUGACGGUACCUAACCAGAAAGCCACGGCUAACUACGUG